AUGGAGUCCAACGGCGGCGAGGGAGAGGGCGACAUCGACCUCAACCUCUCCCUGCAUCGGGCGUCGUCGCCGGAGCCGCUGGGCUACUUCACCUGCACCUACUGCAACAAGAAGUUCUACUCCUCCCAAGCGCUGGGCGGCCACCAGAACGCCCACAAGUUCGAGCGCAGCGUCGCCAAACGCACGCGGGAGCUGGCCGCCGCGCGCCGCCACGGCCACGUGGGCCAGGUCGGCGCCGGCGAGGAGGCCAGCAGGAGAGGGAAGGACCCGACCAGCAAUGCCGCCGGGAGCUCCUCGCACAGGAGGGCGUCUCCGCCGGAGGCAGCCCGCCGGGACCUCAUCGCCGAGGAGAUCGAUCUGUCUCUCAAGCUCUGA
This 375-nucleotide ribosomal RNA is filed under the name Triticum aestivum (bread wheat). RNAcentral's name for it is "partial small subunit ribosomal RNA". The record is from RNAcentral. Lineage: Eukaryota; Viridiplantae; Streptophyta; Magnoliopsida; Poales; Poaceae.